AUUGAACGCUGGCGGCGUGCCUAACACAUGCAAGUCGAGCGGUAAGGCCCUUUCGGGGGUACGACGAGCGGCGAACGGGUGAGUAACACGUGGGUGACCUGCCCUUAGCUCUGGGAUAAGCCUGGGAAACUGGGUCUAAUACCGGAUAUGACCCUAUGGCGCAUGUUGUGGGGGUGGAAAGCCUUGUGCGGCUAGGGAUGGGCCCGCGGCCUAUCAGCUUGUUGGUGGGGUGAUGGCCACCAAGGCGACGACGGGUAGCCGGCCUGAGAGGGCGACCGGCCACACUGGGACUGAGACACGGCCCAGACUCCUACGGGAGGCAGCAGUGGGGAAUCUUGCGCAAUGGGCGAAAGCCUGACGCAGCGACGCCGCGUGAGGGAUGACGGCCU
RNAcentral lists this ribosomal RNA (389 nucleotides) under uncultured bacterium. RNAcentral describes it as "bacterial SSU rRNA". It matches the Rfam family "Bacterial small subunit ribosomal RNA", at positions 28 to 417 of the family's 1533-position model. The record is from RNAcentral.